CUCGCCUACAUGAAGCUGGAGUUGCUAGUAAUCGCGAAUCAGCAUGUCGCGGUGAAUACGUUCCCGGGCCUUGUACACACCACCCGUCACACCAUGAGAGUUGGCAAUACCCAACGUACGUGAUCUAACCCGCAAGGGAGGAAGCGUCCUAAGGUAGGGUCAGCGAUUGGGGUGAAGUCGUAACAAGGUACC
This 192-nucleotide ribosomal RNA is filed under the name uncultured bacterium. Its description in RNAcentral is "partial 16S ribosomal RNA". It matches the Rfam family "Bacterial small subunit ribosomal RNA", at positions 1311 to 1500 of the family's 1533-position model. The record is from RNAcentral.